Molecule: unclassified non-coding RNA, 171 nt
Organism: Marmota marmota marmota (Alpine marmot)
Lineage: Eukaryota; Metazoa; Chordata; Mammalia; Rodentia; Sciuridae
Source: Ensembl
CUGGCAGUAAUAGAAACUGAAGUCCUCUUUUUGUAUCCACAGGAUAGAUACAGUUGGGCCACUCCAGGGUGAGCCUCUCCAUGCUGCCCCAUCAAUGACCUGGAGGGACUUUCUUCCCUCUCUUAGAAGAUAGGAUGUUCGGUCUCCAUAGCAGCUCAGUUCUGGUCCUCU